Molecule: long non-coding RNA, 255 nt
Filed under: Mytilus galloprovincialis (Mediterranean mussel)
Lineage: Eukaryota; Metazoa; Mollusca; Bivalvia; Mytilida; Mytilidae
Source: RNAcentral
UUUUCUACAUAUGAGAACCAUGAAAAUAUACCGUUAGUGCUAAGCCAUUUAGAUAAACAGAAAGCAUCAUAUAAUAAAGGGUUAUUUUCAUCACUGGAAAUUCUUGCCAAGUACUUCAAUGAUUGUACUUUAAUAAAGACAUCUAUGGGAUACUGAGCUAGUUCUGCUCUUGCAGCUAUAUUGACAGAUUGUUUACUAAGCCCCAGUAUAUAUUUGCAAAAUUUUAAAUGUGUCUUCUCCACUUGGCUACUAUCA